RNAcentral lists this transfer RNA (33 nucleotides) under Stevia rebaudiana. RNAcentral describes it as "partial tRNA-Ser". The record is from RNAcentral. Lineage: Eukaryota; Viridiplantae; Streptophyta; Magnoliopsida; Asterales; Asteraceae. RNAcentral also lists the same sequence under 43 other names.
GAACUAUCGAGGGUUCGAAUCCCUCUCUCUCCU